RNAcentral lists this non-coding RNA (74 nucleotides) under uncultured Enterocloster sp. Its description in RNAcentral is "Cyclic di-GMP-I riboswitch". It matches the Rfam family "c-di-GMP-I riboswitch aptamer", at positions 10 to 83 of the family's 87-position model. From Rfam's summary of the family: GEMM was predicted in a large-scale screen for bacterial structured RNA regulatory elements. Genes associated with GEMM are involved in a diverse array of functions, including chemotaxis regulation, signal transduction, secretion and chitin. Lineage: Bacteria; Bacillati; Bacillota; Clostridia; Lachnospirales; Lachnospiraceae. The record is from RNAcentral.
UACUAGGCAAACCCGUCGAAAGGCGGCGGCGCAAAGCUACAGGGACUUCACCGGAUGGUAAGUCAGCCAGCUGC